GACGGAGGAUGCAAGUGUUAUCCGGAAUCACUGGGCGUAAAGCGUCUGUAGGUGGUCAAAUAAGUCAACUGUUAAAUCUUGAGGCUCAACCUCAAAAUCGCAGUCGAAACUAUUAGACUAGAGUAUAGUAGGGGUAAAGGGAAUUUCCAGUGGAGCGGUGAAAUGCGUAGAUAUUGGAAAGACCACCGAUGGCGAAGGCACUCUACUGGGCCAUUACUGACACUGAGAGACGAAAGCUAGGGGAGCAAAUGGG
This 253-nucleotide ribosomal RNA is filed under the name uncultured bacterium. RNAcentral's name for it is "partial 16S ribosomal RNA". It matches the Rfam family "Bacterial small subunit ribosomal RNA", at positions 524 to 776 of the family's 1533-position model. The record is from RNAcentral.